Molecule: ribosomal RNA, 466 nt
Filed under: Vreelandella stevensii
Lineage: Bacteria; Pseudomonadati; Pseudomonadota; Gammaproteobacteria; Oceanospirillales; Halomonadaceae
Description: partial 16S ribosomal RNA
Rfam family: Bacterial small subunit ribosomal RNA
Source: RNAcentral
CCUACGGGGGGCAGCAGUGGGGAAUAUUGGACAAUGGGGGGAACCCUGAUCCAGCCAUGCCGCGUGUGUGAAGAAGGCCCUCGGGUUGUAAAGCACUUUCAGUGAGGAAGAACGCCUGGUGGUUAAUACCCAUCAGGAAAGACAUCACUCACAGAAGAAGCACCGGCUAACUCCGUGCCAGCAGCCGCGGUACAUACGGAGGGUGCGAGCGUUAAUCGGAAUUACUGGGCGUAAAGCGCGCGUAGGUGGCUUGAUAAGCCGGUUGUGAAAGCCCCGGGCUCAACCUGGGAACGGCAUCCGGAACUGUCAAGCUAGAGUGCAGGAGAGGAAGGUAGAAUUCCCGGUGUAGCGGUGAAAUGCGUAGAGAUCGGGAGGAAUACCAGUGGCGAAGGCGGCCUUCUGGACUGACACUGACACUGAGGUGCGAAAGCGUGGGUAGCAAACAGGAUUAGAUACCCGAGUAGUC